Molecule: long non-coding RNA, 432 nt
Filed under: Helianthus annuus (common sunflower)
Lineage: Eukaryota; Viridiplantae; Streptophyta; Magnoliopsida; Asterales; Asteraceae
Description: hypothetical non coding rna
Source: RNAcentral
GAAAUAAAUCAAUAAAAUGAAGUCCCUUUUUGAUUAUCUCUGAUUAUCAUUUACAACAUGGUAUCAGAGCAGAGUUUCUGAUCCGUGAAACAUCUUGCUCAUCUUCUACAAUCAAUCACAACCAAAACCAAAAUCAAACAUCAAACCGCCAUCACCAUUACCGGAAACUCCAUCUCCGGCCACAUAAACUUCCAGCCAGCCGCCACUAUUCCGGCGAACCAGUCAAAUCAACUCCGCGGCGCAUCAGAUCCGGCAGUCCUUCUAGAUGCACAACAUGCAGGAAACGUACAAGCAUGACUGCCUGUUUGACUACCGGGGUCACUGCAAAAGAUGCAAUAGCUAAAGCUAACCCUGUGGUGAAGGCGGAGUGCCUUAAAGAGGAAAAAAACCUUUAAAAAAAAUAAAAAAAAAACAAAAUCUUUUUGAAACAUA